This is an RNA transcript of Vigna angularis (adzuki bean), 3757 nucleotides long. It is a transcript of the gene named CRS2-associated factor 1, chloroplastic-like, with no coding region annotated. The transcript has 7 exons. The record is from RefSeq and is a predicted model, not a curated record. NCBI's taxonomy places the organism in Eukaryota, Viridiplantae, Streptophyta, Magnoliopsida, Fabales, Fabaceae.
CCACUGCCCAGCAGUGAGAAGAGAUGGAUGUGUUACUGAAGGUGGCAAUCCAGUUACCCAUAUUUUGCCCACACAUCAACCACAACCCGACCCGCGAACGUUGUUCCACGGAGCUACGUUUUUCGCAUUGGAACAACGCCAACGCAGAGAAGUUCAACCAGCGCCGCCGGACGCUCCAUGAAAUCGAAGAGGAAAUUUGCCGCACUCGCCGCAACAUCGCGGCAGAUAACAUCAUUAACACUGUCACUACUGCCGCUGUUUCCCCCACUUCCGAAACUUUUAAAUCUCUCGGAACCCCCUCUGCACCGUCGCAACCUUCUAUUCUGGGGAAAAAAUCGAAAUACUCUAAACCACCUCCAAAACCGAAGUCCUUGCUUGAUUGGCAUCCCGUGGUUUCACGAGUAGAGAGACUUGAGUUUCAACCGGGGCCGGAAAAUGUGAAAAUCGGUGAGGAUGGAGUGUCUUACGUGGUCGAAGGCGCACCGUUCGACUUCAGGUUCAGUUACACGGAGACCCCGAAAGCGAAUCUGAUGAAAUUGCGGGAGCCACCAUUCGCACCGUUUGGACCGCCAACCUUGCCACGGCCAUGGACAGGGCGGAACCCAGUACCGCCGAGCCAGACAACUGUGAGAGAGUUCCACUUGCUCGAUCCGUCGCCAUCAGAUGAGAACGGAGCUGAACUAGUCCGUUUGGCCAUGCCGAUUUGGGAGUCGAGGGAGGAGGUGUUGGGAGAACCGUUGAGUAAGGAUGAGAUCAAUGGCUUAGUUAAGAGGGCGGAGAAAUCUUCGCGCCAACUACAUAUUGGCAGGGAUGGUUUGACACAUAACAUGUUGGAAAACAUACAUACAUAUUGGAUGAGGAGCACUGUGUGCAAGAUAAAAUGCAGAGGAGUGUGUACCGUCGACAUGGAUAAUGUGUGCCAGCAGUUAGAGGAAAGGACUGGGGGGAAAAUCAUUUACCGACAUUUUGGCACAGUGUACCUUUUCAGGGGGAGAAACUACAGCUAUGAAACACGACCACAAUUUCCUCUUAUGUGGUGGAGACCAGUGUCUCCAGUAUAUCCUAAGCUGAUUAAACGAGUUCCAAAAGGUUUAACACUUGACGAAGCAACUGAAAUGCGUCAAAAGGGAAGGGUCUUGAUGCCCAUCCGCAAACUAGCAAAAAAUGGUGUAUAUUGGGACCUUGUGACUAAUGUCAGAGAGGCAUUUGAACAAUGUGACCUUGUGCGAAUAAAUUGCCAAGAACUAAAUACAAGUGACUAUAAAAAGAUUGGAGCAAAACUAAAGGAUCUAGUUCCAUGUAUAUUGCUUUCAUUUGAAGAUGACCACAUACUUAUGUGGAGAGGACCAAAUUGGAGGCCCUCUUUACCAAAUCCCAGAGAUGAUGACACAAAAGCCACUAAAAUUAUCGUUGACAGUGGAAAUUCCAAUAAAUUGACUCUAGGUGUCCGAAAAUUAUCAGCGACGUGUCUACAAAACAAUAGAACUGAGCAUCUAUGCAGUGAACCUCUUGACACAAGGAUUUUAUCUAAUUCAGAUAAUUUGAGUUUGCACAAAACUGUGCUUUGUCUCACAGAAAAUAGCAAUCCACCUGUGUCUGAUGUUUCUGGUGCUGCUUCACUCCCUAUGAAAACAUGUGAAGUUGAAAUCACAGAAGAUGUCAUGGCCUUUUCUUGCACACCACAAAUGGUACCGGGUACCAAUAAAAGUUCUGCCAGCAUUGUAGCAGAUCCUCAUUCAAACAACUUUCUUGAUGGUUCAGAAGCAGAUGUUUGUGAGCCAUCAAGUUGUGCACCUUGUACAAAAGGACUUUUAUUGCUGUUGGACCAAGCUGUUGAGCAAGGCUGUGCUCUUGUUUUAGAUGAUAAAUUUUUGGAUGACGACUACAUUUAUCAAACCACUAUGGCUUUUUCUAAAUCAACUCCACCUGAACCUCUUUAUAAACUGUCAGACAGGUUAUGAUAGUAAGAAGUCACAAGAUUUGAAGUAAGAGUCAGAAUCCUUGUAAGUUCUAUCUCAAAUUUCUAUUUGUAUUAGUCAUUUGUUUUCUGUGCCACUAGAGUAGGUUAUCUAUUUCCACUUGUAUAAAAGGUGUCUAAUAUAAACAUUUUGGAAAUAACACUACUCCUUUAGUACAUAAUUACUUGUCUUGUGUUGACAUUUAAAUUUGUUCUAAAUAUUUGUUUUUAAGUCUUUAGGCUGCAUUUAGUUUUAGAUGAUGAGAUUUAGAAAAAAAGAAUUAAAAAAAAAGGGGGUUUUCUGUAAGGACCUUGUUUUCUUAAAGGGGUGGGGAAGCAUUUAAUGCUGGGGGACACUAGCUGCCAUAGGGGGAGUUGGGGUUUUGUUUUAUUUGGAAAAAUGGGGAGCAUGGGUGUUGAAAAACAGCAGCAAAGGGGGAGCAACGUUCGGGUUUUUUUUUCUCUCAUGAUGGGCACCCUUCAACAAAGCUGCAGACGUAGGAAAUAAAACGGGGUGCUGGGUGCUUAAUUGGGAGAGAAAAACUCUUGCUGCAAAUUGGUGAAGGAGGUGAAGUUCAGAGGUGCUGGAGUUGCAAAGAGGCCUUGGAUGGCAAGUCUUGCAGGAGAUUGAUUCAAGAAAGGUGUUCGGUGCUGCAUCUGGAGGAGUGCAAGACUUGCUGCAAAAAUCUGGGAGAGGAGAAGUGUCAGGCCUCAAAAAAAAAAAAAAAAAAAAAAAAAAAAAAAACGUGGCAGCCUGGGAGCGCGCCACCUCAGCGACGCACAUGGGCGACUGCAGCGACUGUCACCCACUAACGGACGCUCGCGGACGCACGUGGAGGUGAGUCAGAAACUGAUAGUGGAUUACACGUGUCCGGCUCUGAAUGAACGACCGUUCGGUAUGGGCACCAGAAGUGCUGAACGUGUGCCUGCCAGCGUGUAAAGUGCGGCAUGGGCAGUCAGAAUCCGAAAUGGAGAACAUGUGCAGGCCAGGCUGUGAACGUGCAUCCAGCAAACAAUGGGAGGCAAAAUCUAAGAGUUUCAGGACUUAUUCCCCACUCUCUGCACCCACCCUCAUUUUCGUUUCUGAAGAGAACCUUUCUCUCCUUCUUCUCUCUUCUUUUCUCUGCACUUUCUCUCUAAGAAAACACCCACGUUUUUUUUUUUUUUUUUUUUUUUUGAGGCCUGACACAGACACUGUAAAUCUUUUGGAGAAAGAUUCAAGGAAGUCUUCAAGAGUUGGGAGCUGUCCUUUGGCAUUCAGUGUACUUGGCUAUAUAUUUUGAUUUGGAGAAAUCAGAAGGUAACGUUGUUGAACAGAAGCUCUUGCAGAAUACUGUUUGUCAGAGGAAGUUCUCAGAAGCUAUAGUUCAAGUUCCCUUGCUUGGUCUCGUGAACAGGAGAGGCUCGCGUGUCGUGUGUCGAUAGUCGGAGCAAGCUCUCUUCGAGUUAGCAAGGUGCUCUGCCUGGUCUCGUGAACAGGAGAGGCUCGCGUGUCGUGUGUCGAUAGUCGGAGUGGUUCUCUUCGAGUUGGCAGAGUGUUCUUCUUUCGGUUCGUUCGUCGAAGGAAGCGAUGAUCAUCCACUUGGAUGGGAGCAGACGUUGUUGAGGAGAUCCCUUUGGAGCAAGAACUGGAGGAUACUAAGGUUGCGGAGUAGUCUUCUUAGGAGUUUCCCAUCUGAACACAUGUAGUGUUCGAAUCUUUAAACUGUUUAAGUUUGAAUUUUCGUUUCUUUUAUUUCUGGAUGACUGUAAUUUCACAUUUAAUUACACGUUAUGCUCCGACUGUUCUCUUUAUUGGAA